RNAcentral lists this ribosomal RNA (496 nucleotides) under uncultured bacterium. Its description in RNAcentral is "partial 16S ribosomal RNA". It matches the Rfam family "Bacterial small subunit ribosomal RNA", at positions 29 to 507 of the family's 1533-position model. The record is from RNAcentral.
AUGAACGCUGGCGGCGUGCCUAAUCCAUGCCAGUCGAGCGCACGGACGAGAAGCUUGCUUCUCUGAUGUUAGCGGCGGACGGGUGAGUAACACGUGGAUAACCUACCUAUAAGACUGGGAUAACUUCGGGAAACCGGCGCUAAUACCGGAUAAUAUUUUGAACCGCAUGGUUCAAAAGUGAAAGACGGUCUUGCUGUCACUUAUAGAUGGAUCCGCGCUGCAUUAGCUAGUUGGUAAGGUAACGGCUUACCAAGGCAACGAUGCAUAGCCGACCUGAGAGGGUGAUCGGCCACACUGGAACUGAGACACGGUCCAGACUCCUACGGGAGGCAGCAGUAGGGAAUCUUCCGCAAUGGGCGAAAGCCUGACGGAGCCACGCCGCGUGAGUGAUGAAGGCCUUCGGAUCGUAAAGCUCUGUUAUUAGGGAAGAACAUAUGUGUAAGUAACUGUGCACAUCUUGACGGUACCUAAUCAGAAAGCCACGGCUAACUACGUG